UACAAAGAAAAUUUUUUGCGAAAUGAUAUCGAAUUUGGCGACGAUGAUUUAUAGUUUACAUCAAGUUCAAGUUCAAUUUAUUUCACACUAUUUGGCGUAUAUAUUACAUUAGAAGAGAUAGAUACUUAAUACUCAUAAUGUAUAUUCGGUAUAAAACAUUUAAAUUAUGUAAAUUAAUUAUAUAAAUAUUAUAUAAAUACAUUAUAAAUACAUUAUAAAUACAUUUAAAAGUUUUAAAUUAUGAUAUUCAAAUUGUGCACGGUGACCAAAGUAGCAUAAGCUUCCGAGUUGGCCACCGUUCUACUUUUGAUUUAUUAGGUAAAUUUUUUAGCUAAUUGGCAAUUCCAACUUUUAAUUUUGCACGCAGGGGGUGAUGGGAAGUAAGGUAUCAUAAUGCUGAUUAUGCUGAAACAUUUCAAUAAAAACUGCCGACACAACCGAAAUAUUUCAAUAUUUACAAGUAUAAGCUUUGAUAAGCUAUCACUCCGUGUUUACACGGCCGUCAUUUUUAUUUUUUCAGCAUAAUCAGCAAUAUGAUACCUUACUUCCCAUCCUCCCCUGCGCGCAUAAAUUAAAAGCUGGAAUUGCCUAUUGUAUAUCUCAUUACUAUUUGCAUGGUUUUACAGUCAAUAAAUUGAACUCUUGGUCAAAAGAAGAGAAAGAAAAGCAGCAAAGAAAAUUAGCAUACAUACACAAAAAUAAAGCUAUUUUUUUAUUAACUUAAAGGUGAUGUAAAGUCCGUAAUGUAAACAAACAUUUUGAACUCAGUGCUACAGUUGUAAAAUAUGAUUAGAUAUAUAUUAUACUGAACUUUCAACACUCUUCUGAUUCGCUAUACUUGUAAAUUA
Molecule: non-coding RNA, 848 nt
Organism: Paramuricea clavata
Lineage: Eukaryota; Metazoa; Cnidaria; Anthozoa; Malacalcyonacea; Plexauridae
Source: the annotation of a GenBank genome assembly